Long non-coding RNA from Heterocephalus glaber (naked mole-rat), 404 nucleotides. The record is from Ensembl. Lineage: Eukaryota; Metazoa; Chordata; Mammalia; Rodentia; Bathyergidae.
CCUGAGCUUCUGUCUGAGUGGGCUGAGAGGUGGAAGUCUCUGCUGCCUCCCUGUGGGCCUGUGUGUACUCCAGGGCAGUGGGAGCCGCAGCCAGCUGGGAGGCCCUGAGGGUCUGCACGCCCGCUUCCCUCCCACCUCCAGGCUGCGGCUGCCCCCCUUCCUCCUUUUCUGCUGCAGCAUGGACAGUGCUGCUUGGAACAUCGCUUCAGGAGAGGAGAGAAGCAUUCUAAAGCCUUCUGGGGUCCUGGAAAGCUCCUCAGUGGACUCAUCGAGGCGUGGCGGCAGAUCAGCAGGCCCUGGUGCUUGCUGGCCUUUGGAGAAAGGUGAGCAGUCUCGUAGCAAUGUGGCCUGUGGGGUCUCCAUCUGCCUUGCCCAGAAUGAAUGGAGAGCACAGCUACACGUCC